AUACGUAUGGAGCAAGCGUUAUCCGGAUUUACUGGGUGUAAAGGGAGCGUAGACGGCAUAGCAAGUCUGAAGUGAAAUCCCAUGGCUUAACCAUGGAACUGCUUUGGAAACUGCCAGGCUAGAGUGCAGGAGAGGUAAGCGGAAUUCCUAGUGUAGCGGUGAAAUGCGUAGAUAUUAGGAGGAACACCAGUGGCGAAGGCGGCUUACUGGACUGUAACUGACGUUGAGGCUCGAAAGCGUGGGGAGCAAACAGGAUUAGAUACCCUGGUAGUCCACGCUGUAAACGAUGAUUACUAGGUGUUGGGGACCAAAGGUCCUCGGUGCCGCCGCAAACGCAUUAAGUAAUCCACCUGGGGAGUACGUUCGCAAGAAUGAAACUUAAAGGAAUUGGCGGGG
This 396-nucleotide ribosomal RNA is filed under the name uncultured bacterium. RNAcentral describes it as "partial 16S ribosomal RNA". It matches the Rfam family "Bacterial small subunit ribosomal RNA", at positions 523 to 918 of the family's 1533-position model. The record is from RNAcentral.